UAUAUACAUUUUAUUGUUGGAAGUAGGGAUGUUAAUGGUACGAAUAUCUAAAAUUUUAUUCGAAUUCGAAUCCGAAUCCGAAUGAGGCGGAUUUACACUAACCGGUAUAAUUUUCAGUACGGAUAUGAAAAUAAAAAUUUCAAAUUGAAUUGGGUUCGGAUAUAAAUUUUAUCUAUAUUUGAUCCGAAUUAAAAUAUGAUCCGAACACGAAUAGAUGUUAUAUUAUUAUAUAUAAUAUUUAUAAUAAAUAUUUGAUAUGAUAUUUGAAAAAUUCAGAGAAGUGGUUGUUUUAAGCUCAGAUUGGAUUUCGACUUUUCGUUUAGUUAUUGAGUUUGAAUAUGAAUUUUUAAAAUACGUUGUAUUCGAGUUCGGUGUUUCGGAUUCGGAUUUUGAAAAUUCGCUCGGAAUCUGAACAAUUGGCAAUUCCUAGUUGGAAGAGGUGGAGAGAGAAAAAUGGGGAAGAGAGAGAAA
This 471-nucleotide long non-coding RNA is filed under the name Ananas comosus (pineapple). Its description in RNAcentral is "long non-coding RNA (ACOM_LNC019298)". Lineage: Eukaryota; Viridiplantae; Streptophyta; Magnoliopsida; Poales; Bromeliaceae. The record is from RNAcentral.